This 451-nucleotide long non-coding RNA is filed under the name Gallus gallus (chicken). Lineage: Eukaryota; Metazoa; Chordata; Aves; Galliformes; Phasianidae. The record is from RNAcentral.
UAGAGGCUGACCUAAUUGAUGAGACCUUUAAACUGAAAGCUGGGGAAAGAAAACACAGUUUCUUUCUUGUCCCUUGAGCUUGAGUUGCAGAUGACCUCCCAGCACCUGGGAGAGCUGCACUGCAACCCUAUGGACGUCCACCUUGCAGUGGGGACAGGGGAUGGUACAGGAGCCGCGGUACAGGACGUCUGUGCCCCAAUGGGUGCCACUGGUGAAACUGGCUUUGAAAUUGCUAUUGGUUUGGAAAAGAGACAUCAGGGCACAUGGUGUCCCACUGGAAGACAGUUGGUGUUUCAACACUGCGAGAGCAGAAUCAGCCUGAUUCUCAGAGAUUCACCACAGCACAUGAAACAUAAAAACAGCCCAGCACGCAAUGACUAAACCUUUAAUUACCUUUCUGAAUGAUGGAGAGAGGCUACAAUCUGAUAAACGCGGUUAAUUGCUGGCAAUU